CUUCAUCUACCUGCUGAGGGCAAAUGAAGUGCACGUGUGCAUCAAUGCCGCCUGCCGUCAGUAUUUGCCCUUCUCCCGCUAUAAUCUCUGUGCCCGCGCCAAUAGGAAUAGUCACGCCGUUUUGUACGUCGGGAUUACCGGCUUUGCCAAUGGCUUGAAUACGGCCAUCGUUAAUGGCCACAUCGGCUUUCACAAUGCCCCAGUAAUCUAAAAUGAGCGCAUUGGUAAUGACUAAAUCUGGCGUUUCUGCGCAGCUGAGCUGCCCCUGCCCCAUGCCAUCGCGAAU
Small RNA from Alteromonas australica, 286 nucleotides. It matches the Rfam family "5' ureB small RNA". The record is from Rfam. Lineage: Bacteria; Pseudomonadati; Pseudomonadota; Gammaproteobacteria; Alteromonadales; Alteromonadaceae.